UAGUUUCUUAGUCAUGGUACAUAAGCAAUUCCUCUUUAAAAUGAAUAACAUUAUUUUUUUCCUGUAUAGAGUGGACAAAGGCAACAAAGCAGCGGUGCUACUUACAUUCAGGGUGGGCCAACCUACACUAUCAGCAGCGGUUCUUACGGACAGGGCUCCCGAGGCAGCCAGACCUAUGGUCAGAUCUCUCAGCUUCAACCUGGCAGUUCUUAUGGCCAGGUCUUCCAGCCACAAGGAGGUGCUUCCUAUGGCCAGGGUGGGCCAACCUACACUAUCAGCAGCGGUUCUUACGGACAGGGUUCCCGAGGCAGCCAGACCUAUGGUCAGGUCUAUCAGCCACAAGGUGGCACUUCCUAUGGCCAGCAGAGUGGAUUUUCUUCUUCAGGUGGCAGUGGAGGUUGUGGACAAGAGGGCAGCAACCAGAGUAGAACACAUUGUACUGCUUCACAUCUUGCUAUUCCAAGAAGGAUCCAUGCAGCCGAAACAUACCGAAACAGGGAAAUGAAAGGCAGUAGCAGAAGAUCUGUGAUGAGCGAAUCUAGAAAGAUUCUGGGGUAGGUGGUCACACAGCAGUGAUUGUUGGCUCUUUAACGGAUUACCCAAUGUAAUCUUUAAUGUUAAUAUUUGCCAAUCAAGAAGAACUUAGAUAAAUUAAUAGAAGCGUCAGUUGCAAAACUACCUCACUUUUCCACACUGCAACCAAAUAAUCCUGCUUUCAUUAUCUGUAUUUUGAUGCUUAUAAGUAGGUGGAUAUGGAAUAGAAAGAG
Molecule: long non-coding RNA, 767 nt
Organism: Phasianus colchicus (ring-necked pheasant)
Lineage: Eukaryota; Metazoa; Chordata; Aves; Galliformes; Phasianidae
Source: Ensembl